This 80-nucleotide small RNA is filed under the name Flavobacterium nitrogenifigens. RNAcentral's name for it is "Flavo-1 RNA". It matches the Rfam family "Flavo-1 RNA". The record is from RNAcentral. Lineage: Bacteria; Pseudomonadati; Bacteroidota; Flavobacteriia; Flavobacteriales; Flavobacteriaceae.
CCAUAGCCCCGAUAGGAGCGGAAAUCCUUUUUAUGGCGGGGUUCGGCCCAAAAAGAUUGAAGCGGAUAGCGGGAAAUAGC